This 16029-nucleotide long non-coding RNA is filed under the name Gallus gallus (chicken). Its description in RNAcentral is "lncRNA (ENSGALG00010018930.1)". The record is from RNAcentral. Lineage: Eukaryota; Metazoa; Chordata; Aves; Galliformes; Phasianidae.
AUCUAUCUUCUCCACACCUAUUCCCAGAGCUUCCUUGACUGUGCAGAGAGAGAGGCAGAGCUGCAGCAGGAGUGACCGUGAUAAAACGAGGGGCCAGGAGGGAGCAUGGUGUGCUGCAAGGGAAGAUGAGUAACAGCAGCACCUGCAGCUCUCCGAUAGCACUGCCCAUCCCUUGGCCGUGCCUGUGGGCCCUGGUGCUGCUGCAGGCUCUCUGGCUCCAUGCCAGACACUGCUGGGGCAUCCGUUGAGUUUCUUAUCCUCCCCUGACAGCUGCUGGUGUCCUUUGGCACUUUGGAGCCAAGGGCAAAAACAGCCCUCCCUUGGGGUGGAUGUGGGAGGAGUAUGACUGGCAAUGCAUCCAGUUGAAGCUGUUCCUGGUGCCGGGGUGUUGAAAUGCUGUAAACCCUUAACUGUAAGCACGUGUAUAAAUUGCGGAGCUCAGGUCUUCAUUUGAGCAGUUCGGAGAGGUGGAGGGAGAUGAGAGAAGAGGUCAAGUCCUCCAGCAUCACUGGGUUAGAAAGGAGAUCCAAGACGGACACAGGGAGGGAACCAGUUUGAAGCUCAAGGAAGGAGACCCCCAGCUCUCUGUGAAGGAUGGGCGUGAGCUGGCAUCGAGUCAGAAUGUCCUUGUGAAGGUGGGAGAGAACUGGAGCGUUGGGGCUCCUCCGCCUUUGAAACCACCUUUGUGUGAGCAAGAACUGGAGCUGUCCUGCAAAGAUUGCCCUUAGGAGACGUGUAUGGGCUUUGCUAUGGAGAACAACAGCUCUUCUGUGGCUGACAGCCUAACACUGGGAUGAAGAGCACCCCACACGUGGCUGAUCUGGAGGCUGCUGCAGUUGCCAGAGCGGGACCCAAGCAUGGAUGAUCCUGAGAAACCUGCACAGCGACGGCCCCUGGACUCCCCUGACUGGGAAGAGGUUAAUUUAAACAGCCUGAAAAGCAGCAAAGGGAAAAGUCAUCUUUCAUGAGAUGGAACUGUGACUGUCCCUUUCUGAGGAACAGGCCUGUACCAGGGAUGCAAGCUAGCAUGUGGUCCUACCCUUUGCAAGAUCCUUUGUGUAUGCAGCCUCCGAUUCCUUCUCCUCCAGUUCCUUAUCUUAGCUUGUAAAACAUGCUGCAUAUGGCCAACAAGGCUAUCUGUGUCUAGCUUACGUGCAAACCUGGAGACAUCUCUGCACAAAUCACCACUGACUUGCAAAAUCCUCCAGCCCUCUGCUGCCUUAUUGUCUUUGUGGUCACAUGCGCUCUAUUUGCUGUGGGUCGUUUACUGCCAACCUUGGAGGAAUGUCAGUAACUGGAAAGCUGAGCUUUCUCCUUUCUGUUUUGUCAGUCAGGGUGUCCAUCAGCAGAUGUAGCAGGGUACUGGAGGACUACAGCCUGCAUGGGUCACGCCUUCAGCUGAAAUGGCACCAGGCAUAGACCAGGUGCCCACACAGGGGAUUUCAGACCACAGCCUGCAUUUGUAGGGCAACUGGGAGGAAAAUGUUGUCUUGUUUGUCAACUGAACUCCACUGAUGCUCACUGAUGUUCUCCUUAUUGUGCCAUAGGGAAGGUUUGUAUGUUCACAUUUACACCUUGGAAGACCAUUUCCAGGGCAUGACAAUGAGCGCAUUUUAGCCGAUUAUUUUGAACAGAAGGGUGCUGGGCUCGGGAGCAUCCCUCAGGACCAGGAUGGGGAUCCUAGUGGCCAGGUGGGCUGGAAGGCUCUGUACUGAACUGUAGGGACAGUGCUGGAGGCUUGGAGGAGAAAAUGGAGACACACCAUGGCUGAAUGUUUUGGUCAACCUCUUGCCAGACUGAGUCUGUACCAGAGCUCCUAAAGGACAGAGCUCAUGUCUUCCUCUGACUCUUCAGCAGCAUGCUUGAUGUUUGUAGGCCAAAAGUGUUCACAUGUGAACACGGUGAGCAGCUCAGCAGCUGAGAGGUGUCAGCUUCUUGCUCCCUUUGAACCACUUGUGCAAGAAACCCCUCGUGUGGUUACUGCCUGGCUGGUAGCUCGUCACCACACCGUGCUAGGCCACUGUGCUGCAGAACAGCAGAACAACUGUGCUUCUAGACAUGCUGCUGACACCACAACAUCCUUGACCAGGCUGGUGCAUGCCCUGCAUCCUCUGAGGUGGUUUCAGGGUGUGUUUGUCUUCAGACAAAAAGCAAUGCUCUGCAUGCCUCCAGAGAGGGUCUGCUGUCUGCUCUCAAGUGAGAGGCAGGAUGUGCAAGCAAAGUCAGGCUUGGUGUCACCAAACCCAGACUCAUUUCCUCCUCCCAGUGUUCGAGGCUCUCUGGAGCAGAGGUUGGACCUGAGACUCAUUUGUAGCCCUCAGCAAACUUCUCAUAAACAGGAAAGAGCACUGUGGGGAGGACGACAAGACAGCAAUCAGUUCUGCUCUGUCUUUUGUUCUUCCCCUCCUCUUUUGUCUUAAGACUAACAAUGCCUUGUUUGAUUUGUUGCACGGACAGCUGCCAGAUGGAAGUAAAACUGUCCUUCAAGAGGGUGGCAGUCCUCAACGGGAUGGUCAUGGCCUCAUCCUGCCUGCAGCUGCGGAAAUGCCACCUACUGGGCCUGCUUCUGGCCUGCAGCCGCUGUGCUUGAGGAAGGCUGCAUGCCGGGAGGGAGGCCCUAGAGAUGCUAUCAAGUGACAAGGACCUUGGGCUCUUUGCCUGGGUUGUGUUCUCUUCCCCAGACUUUCCAGAUCAGAAUAGCGGAGGGAGCCUUCCUUACUGGGGCAUCAGACACCGUGCGGGGUGUUAUCUCAGCCCUGUGACAGCUCAUUGUUUGGUUUCCUUCCGUAAUGUCACUGUGGUGAAGGAGAGAGAAAACUUUUGCUUUCCAACUGUUCUCUCUGUUUUUUGUUUGUUUGUUUGUUUGUUUUGCUGCAGCCCCCUGUGCCUGCUGGUAGCUUCCUCAAGUGCCUGAAGCUGAUUGGGAAAUAGUCCCUGCUGUUAUUGAGGCUUGUCCUGCUCUGGAGGGUGAUGAGCUCCAUGGCAGGAAGCUGCUCUCUCAAAGCAGAUCUCUUCAAAAUUAAAGAGAAGAGUUGGUUCUCUUCUGCAUAAUUUGCUCCUUGGCCUUCAAGAUUUAACAUCCAUUGAAAGUAGGGAUGGCUGAGCUGGUGUGACGCAGUUUGUCCUGCGUACAGGAGGCAUGGCCUAGAGAUAAGGACACUCAACUGAAGCAAGAAGUAGGAGCCAGAUCUCUGCUGAAUUCCCAGAUUACUAAGACUCCUUUUUCUCCACUUCUUUCUAGCUCUAUGAGUCUUGCUUUUGUGACUGCCUGUUGGGUCAUCCUCAACAAGGCAAGCCUGGACCCAGUAACACCAGUGUCCCCCUGUUUAAGUCACCUUCCUGCAACAUGGGGAGUUGAAUCCUUUCCAGGUGGAGGAGAAACUUUUAUUUCUCAUAUCAUGGGUGAGCUGCCGCCAGUGAGCAGUACUGUGCAGUGCAGCUUCUAGUGGCUAUUUUCAGGUACUGUAAUGCCUCAGCUGACUAUUUGUGACUUAUCUUUGACACAAGGGGAUGCACCAGCAGAGAUUCCUGAUUCCUCCUUGGCAGCUAAAAUACCAACAAAAACAGCAUGGAAGUGUCCUUCCUUCCACACCUCCCCACGACCCUAACAGAGGUGUGUGAGGAUUUAGAUUCCUUACAUGCCUGCAAGGCACUCAGCUCAGCUCAAGAGCCUCAUCACAAAGUUAUUAUAGCCUGUGUGCUCCUCAGUGGGUGUGAAGUGGUUAAUGACUGACUUGUAAAACUGCUCUGUGCAUGGGUGAACUGUGUAGGUGUUUUCAGAAACAGCUGUGCCAGUUUCCCCUGUCAGGAUGGGCUUGGGUGCUGGCCAACUUUCCUGUCACUCUCUGUUUGCAAAGCUUUGUGUGAUUGAGUUUUGGUUUUUGAAAUCCGUCAGGUACAACUGAAAUUCAAAAGCUGAAAGCUUGAAAAGCUGAAAGUUUUUAGUAUUAUUUCAGAGCUUGCUUGGUUUUGCAGGAUUCAUCACUGUGAAUACCAGUGUUCUGGAACUCUGUCACAUGAUGAAAUCAACCUACUACUGCUAAGAAGCACCAGUUUGUAACUUAAACACUGAUUAUGCCAGGAGGAGAAGCCCAAAUCCAUUUAGAUGAUGCUCAUCAAAGAUCUCUGUGGUCUAGGUCUAUGGUCUAUAUAUGGUGUCUGGAAAGCUGGGCUUGGGUAUGUGUAGGAACUACUAAAUAGGCCAUUUUGACACCCUAGUUUUUGAUGUCCUACAUCGUAACUCCUACAGUGCAUUUAGCAGCUUGUGUGAAAGUCUCUCUAGAAAGUACUGUCUUCUGUCCACUGAAAAUGCAUUUGUUCAUCCAUCACAGAAGCCCCUGGCAGGUGCCCUGGAGGUUUUCAAGGAACAUGUAAACGUGGCACUGAGGGACAUGGUUAGUGGGCAUGGUGGAGAUGGGCUGAUGGCUGGACUGGAUUACCUUAGUGGUCUUUUCCAACCUAAAUGAUUCAGUUAUUCUUUACAGCCACAUGUGGUCAAGGCCUGGAAAAAUCUCUUCUAGGUCAGAGAAGUGGACUGCUUUUACCUCAAUGGACUCAUUUCCUGAGGACAGUAUACCUCAAUGGACUCAUUUCCUGAGGACAGUAACAGGUGAGAUAGAUUUUGUGCACCACACCCAACAUGGCCCAUGCAAUACGGUUUGCUGUCUGCUGUUCUCAAUUCCCAGACUUUGUUCUCCAAGCUAUUGAACUUGUCACGUCCCCCUGACGCUGAUAUUUUAGGAGAAACUAGAGGCUUCUGGAAUGAUUUGUUCCCAUACAAAACUGGAAAUGAGUUUCCACCCACUGAUACUAUUUAUAAGCAAGUAGUAGCAGCAUUAAACUAGAAUCCCUGCUGUUCCUGAUGCUACUCAAGGAAUACAUGGUUGUUACUGUCCCAUUACGGGCCCGGUGGGUGUGAAAGGUGCGGCUCAUUUUGAACCAUUUCUUGUUUAUUCUUAUCACUCUUGAACACCUGUGAGUCAGAGGUCUGUCUCUGGCUUUCUUUCCUUCUCUCAGUCUACAUUUGCAGACUAAAAUGGUGGGUUUCUGGUAGAUCUUGUCACUUCUAUGUAAUUUGGCCAUUUCAGAAUGAAAUACGUAAAUGAACUUAGGCUGCUAAUUGCCCUGUCCUCUGCACUUGUUAUGGGUGACAUCUGGGCGCAUUGGUAUGAGUUGUGAACAGUCAUGCUUUCUGCGAAGAACCUAAGCCAGAACUGGAGGAAAUUAAAUCUACAGAUAGAAGGAUGUAUUUCUGGUGCCACUGCAACCAGGGACCCAUCCCUCCCUUAGCUUUUUUUUUCAAGCUGAAGAGUUGAUUCAGUUACUUGGCAGUUGGGUGCCGUUUCAAGCCUUUUGCUAUCUCCUUAUUGAGAAAAUUGACUAGGGCUGCCUAAAAUUUCCAAUUUCCUUUUUAUUUUCUUUGCCUUGCUCUAGUUAUUCCUAUCAUUCUCUUUUUCAAAGCGACUGAGCUGGAAUUUUCAGAUGAUUGCUCACAAUGACUCUGGUCCUUUUACUUUCUGUGUAUGGCUAAUGUGAUUUCUCCCACACAGAUUAACCUAUGCUUAUUGACACUGCAUUUUACCAGUGGUUUCAUUGCCUGGUCACUCAGCAUCAUGUCACAGUUAUUCAUAUUCAGAUUUAGAUCUCAAAAUCCUGGAUAACUUACAGCAGCUGGUCACUUGAUCAUUUGAUUGCUCAUCCCUUUUCCAGAUCACUGUGAUGGUAGUGAACAGAAGAAAUUCAGCAUAAAUUCUCAGGGGACUUUCCAGAAGCUUAUUAUAUAAGUGUUACAUAUGUAUUCACACAAAAAGGUACACAAAGAAACAUAUGCAUGCAUGUGUACGUGCAUUAUCAUAUGUAUGUGUGCAUACAUAUAAUAAUUUAUGCCUACUUUUAACUUCUGGUAUUUCAUUCUUAUGAGCUUCUGAUAUUUCAUGACAGUAAUUUCUUUAAGAACCUUGACUGGGAGAGAGAAUUCAGCUGCCUGUGUUUUUCAAAAACCGGCUGCAGUGAAUCAAUAGAACAGCUCUGGCCCUCAUGCCUGACAACUUUCCAAAAAUAUCUGAUGGAUUUGUGAGGUAUGGCGUGUCUUUAUAAAAGCUAUGUUGACUUCCACUGACCAAUUGAUCCAUUGAGCUAUCUACUUCACACAGACACACAAGUUGAAGAGGGCUUCUGGAGUUCUGUGGUCCAAUCUCACAUUGAAAGCAACCAACUCUGCUGUUGUCUGGCUAAGUCUUGGAAACCCCCAAGGGUAAAGUUCUUACCUCCUCUCCAGAUGUAGGUCUCAGAGCUGCACCAUCCAUCUCCAGGAAAAAAAAAAACAAGUGUCCUAGUGGCCAAUCUGAGCUUCCUAAGUGCAGUCUAGCAACCUCUUCUUCUACCCUUUAUUACUGUUCCUCACUUGACUUUUCACCACUGCCAAGAAGAAUUUGAUUCCAUUAUUUAUUGCUCUUCUUCAAGUAGUUUGAUUUUUGGAGACUCUCCAUCCUUGACAAUAUUGACAGCUGGAGCAGACUGCUCAGAAGUUGAGUCCUCUGCUCUGAGCAGAGGUUAGAGUAGGGGUGUCCAGAAGCCCCUUCCAACAUGAAUUAUUCCAUAAUUCUACAGUCAGGCUGGACUCCAGUAGUGAGUUUCUCCUCAAGGGAAGUCCAAGGUGAUUUGUUAGGAGGUAUCAUCUACUAUAUCUUGGCACUCCAGAAACAGUUUGAAAAUUUCCAAGACACGUAUUGUUGAGUAUCCUUGGCAUACCGGAGCAAAGUGAGCAAAACAGCACAGGAAGUGCUUUUCACACAUUUCCUCCAUGCGUUCAGUUGAGAUGCCUGUAUUAGGAAAGAGGUUGCAAACUGAUAUUCUGCCACUGUCUCAUUUUGAGUUGUUCGUCCAUUUUUUGAUUCAGUGUUUGUUCGAAUGAAAUGCUGACUGGAAAACAAAGCUUAUGUCAGCCCUUACCAGCAGAGCAUUCUUUUGAAGGUAAAGAGCUGUAAGGCAGCAUGAUAGGAACAGUGAGUCCUAUCAGAGCCAGCAGCAAAACACUUAAAUGCUGAAAUAGUUCAGCAUCUGCUGAGAGCAAGAACUAUCCAUAUAAAAGACACUAAUCUGUCAUAGACUUUAAAGCUAGAAGGGAUUAUGAUGAUCUUUCUCUCUAACCUCCUACAUAAUUCAGACCAUACGAUAUCAUUUCACAUCAAGCUCUUAUCUUCCAAAUGAGCCUGAAAAAGGCAUCCACUCUUGACUGAAGUACUGACAGUGAUGAAGAUUCCAUCCUAUCUUUGGGAGAUGAUGGUAAGAUUAGUUAUCCUGACAGUUAUGAAAAAUACAGUCUAUUUCAGUGCUUUGUUUCAGCUUUCAUCCACUGGCAUUUGUGAUGCUUUUUGCUGAAUUAUGUGCUUUUCUACUAUCAGGAAGUUUGGCUACCAAGAGUAAUUUUGACCAGCUUUCUUACCUUUUUUCAGUGUGUGGUCAAAGCCUCAGAAGGACCCAGAAGAACUAUUUCUGGCUGGGUUGUAGACGUUUCAGAUAACCUUGACCUUAGCUUGUUUCUGCUAAUGGUGAUCCUCUGUAGAACUGAGAUAAUGAUACUUCCCUCCCUCUCACAGGUGUUGACUGAGAAAAAAAGACCAUUAAAAUUUCUCACAUGCUACAGUGGGAGGAAAAUAGUGGGUCACACGGAGAUCAGAGGCUGGAUAUUACAUUCCAAGAUGUGGUUUAGUGCAGCAAUCUUAUCUACUGGAAACUGAAGUCCUCUCAUAUUGCUGCAAGAUAUGAGCUGCAUUUUCAUGUAUGGAUAGUGGUGCUCUGAAUCAAAAGACAAUAUCUGAAAACAUUUGUAUAGAGUGGUAGUUGAAUAUCUGUGAAAGAGAGAAGAUAUUUGGGGACAGUAGGGGAUAAUUGCUUUCUUUGUAGGGGACAUUGAGAUAAGGCAAUGUAGAUCAAGUGAAGACUAUUUCUCAUAGCAAAACACUUACCAAGAUGUAAAAACAGAAGCUCAUCUAUUUGAUUCAGUUCAUCUGUCUACUCUAAAUGGAGCGUUUAUUUGUAAUGGAGCCAGUGGUCUCAGUUAUCAGCCAUACCUUUUACAGUCAAAGCCUAGACCAAAAUAGCUUCCAAGUCCUUCUGAUUUUCUAUUUUUGUCAGUGAUCUGCUUAAAUGCUGAGGACACUCAGACCAAUCUAAUUGGCUAAGCAUUUGUGCUAGAGGAGUGGAUCACCUCCCUAUAUUUAAAAUGAACAUAUAUAUGAUGUCCUUGGGGUGGGAGAGCAGGGGUGUCUCGUGCUGCCAACUGCUGAGUCAUGGCUGAAAACCAAGGAAGAUGAACCACUCAGCACAAGGCUGGUGUCUCCUAUACUGUUGCUCUGUGGUGCUCAAGAUGUGAAGUACUAUGUUGGGAUGAGUUGAGAUAGAAGAUGAUCUCCCUGUUUUGCCUCCCAUGCUAGGGUCAGCUUUUUUUCAGCCCUGGUGACCAAGUCUGGAUGGAGCUUUGCUGAUGAUGGGGAAUGACUCAGUGGCAUGAGACUCCCCUCAGCCAUGUGUCAGGGAGUAGGUCUUUGUAGAUCAAAUAAGACCUUCAACUGAAAUUCAAAGGAGGUUUUUCCUGUUGUCCACUGUUUUCUGUUAUGCAUAAGUGAUAUAGAUGGCUUUAUUUUCUAGAGUCCCAAAUGCAUGUGAUGCUGAGCUGAUAUUUAGGCUAAAAAUCAACAGCCCAGAUGUCCAUCCCCAUUUUCAUACACAGGGAGUGAAAGACUAAUUCAUUUGGCUCUCUUCUUUCCCGUUGACAAGUUAUCAUAAACAGAGAUGUGUCCAAGUCUGUAUCACAAAAAUUGUUUAUCCUCUAUGGUAAAAACAGAUAUUGAAACAGAAAUCUGAGACUUCUUCCAGAUUACUCUGGGUUAAAGGCUUUGGUCAAACUAUAUAGUCAAACUAUAUAAGUUUGGUCAACUUAUAUAGUUGCUUUAUAUUAUUUGCUGGUUCAUAAAGAGUAAUUCAGCAUUAACAUGUUAAGUCAAUAAUUUUCCUCUCUUCUGUAUCUGUUUUUACAUAGCAGCUGAAACUGAUGAAUCCUGUGAUGGAAUUAUAGAAUUAUAUCAUAGAAUCAUAGAAUGGCCUGGGUUGAAAAGGAACACAAUGAUCAUUGAGUUUCAACCCCCCUGCUAUGUGCAGGGUCACCAACCACCAGACCAGGCUGCCCAGAGCCACAUCCAGCCUGGCCUUGAAUGCCUGCAGGGAUGGGGCAUCCACAACAUCCUUGGGCAACCUGUUCCAGUGCGUCACCACCCUCUGUGUGAAAAACUUCCUCCUAAUAUCCAACCUAAACCUCCCCUGUCUCAGUUCAAGACCAUUCCCCCUUGUCCUAUCACUGUCCACCCUUGUAAACAGCCGUUCCCCUUCCUGUUUAUAUGCUCCCUUCCAGUACUGGCAGGCCACAAUGAGGUCUCCCUGGAGCCUUCUCUUUUCCAAGCUAAACAAGCCCAGUUCCCUCAACCUUUCCUCAUAGGAGAGGUGCUCCAGCACCUCAUCUUAGUGGCCUCCUCUGGACCCACUCCAAGAGCUCCACGUCCUUCCUGUACUGGGGGCCCCAGGCCUGGAUGCAGUAGUGCAGAUGGGGCCUCACAAGAGCCGAGUAGAGGGGCACAAUCACCUCCCGCUCCCUGCUGGCCGUCCCCUGUCCACCGAAGCUGUCACUCCAUCAUAGAAGGCCACCAGAUUGGUCAGGCACGAUCUGCCCUUGGUGAAGCCAUGAUGGCUGUCUUGAAUCAACUCUUUAUCUCAUAUGUGCCUUAACAUGGCUUCUAGGAGGAUCUGCUCCAUGAUCUUCUCACACACAGAGCUGAGGCUCACCGGCCUGUAGUUCCCUGGGUCAUCCUUUCUCCCUUUCCUAAAAAUGGGAGUAAUGUUUCCCUUUUUCCAGUCACUGGGGACUUCACCAGACAGCCAUGAUUUUCAAAUAUGAUGGAGAGCAGCUCAGCAAAUGACAGUGCAGCAAAUGACAAAAGGGAAUGAACUGUACAAGAUGCAUGUCUGGGAGCUUUUGGGGUGGGUUGUGAUCACUGACGCUGGGUGCUAUCAGCCAUGUCUUUGUUUGGAGAUCACAUGCAGUCUAUACAGAAUUACUUAGGGAAAAACAAACUCACAGGGCCUGAUGCUGGUAGUUUGGCCACAGCUUCCAGCCCAGGCCACAGCUGACCGUGGCAAAAACAACAAAUUCUUUCAUGUUGUUAUGUAUUUAAUUACAUAAACACUGGGGAACUCAAGUCUCAGCCCAGAUCUCUCUUGAGUAAUAUAAUUACAAAGACUGCUUUGGCAAGAUUGUAUGUAGCUAGAAUUGGCUGUUGGUGUUUUCUCCUUUUCCCUUUUUUAAAUAGAUGUUUCCAAAGAGAAGUCCUUUGUAAAUGAAAUUACUAUUUCCUUUCAUAAAUUUUUGAGGAAAAAAAUAAAAGGAUCUGGCAUUUUCCCACUCACCCACCCAUCUUGGAUUUCAUUCAGACAUGCUGUGCUCAUGACAAUAUUUUGGCUUUGACAAAUGGGAAACUUUUGGAUGUCAUUGUGGAAUAUAGGUGUGUUGUGUCGCUUCCUUUUUCUGAGGACAGAUCCUAUGAUUUUUUGCUAAUGGCGUUGUUUUUUUCAGAUAUUUUUGAUAUCAGAUUAACAAUAUACUGCAGAGUAUUUUAAUUAUUGGUUUUUUUACAGGCACUAUGUAAACAUACUGUUUCUCAGGCUUCUAAAAGCUCUGCUUCUAAAAUAUGACAAAAAGAAGUAUAUAAAAACGGAUAAUAACCCCCAAUCCAUGCCAUGUAGAAACCCAAGCUCGUCUGCAAACUAAGCACCAAGUGCUUAUUUUACAGCAUGACCUUUCCUGGUGCUUCCCGACUCAUCAUUCCAAUGGCAUUAGUGCAGUUGGAAUGGAAAUUUUGGUUUCAUUUGAUUAUAUGAUACUGGGAAAACUCUUGUGGCAUUGCUAGUUUGAAUUUAAUAGUACAAGCUUAGUCAAUGUGCUGUUUCAUUGCUCUUUACCAACCUGUCAUGUAGUUGAGGACAUGGGAGCUCUGAGCAGCUAUUUCCUCCUCUCCUGUCUCAAGGAAAAAGCAUUUGCUUUCUCUCAGGAAAAUAAAAAGAAAGUGUUUGUGAAGUUAGGUCUCUUUGGGAACAGCUUUGUUUUUAACACGGCCCUUAUUUGUACUGGAGGAGUUACAUUGACUUGCGUUAUGCAAUAAUUAGACAACACGCAGAUCCCAGCUCUUCCUGGGAAUGUUGGAUUCACCACAUUAUCAACUUCCAUGCAUUUUUCUGGCUUUUCCUAUGCAGUGAUGGCUGGGUACCCCGGCAGACCUUGAAGUCAUGGGAUGUUCUGGAGGUAUGUGUGGUCACCAGGUGAACAGAAAUAAGUCUGGGCUGUGGAUCGAGUUCAGGUUGCCUGGUGUGACUGGGAAGAGCACGGUGUGCAAAAUGAUUUCAUCUAAAUUUAGUAGCAGUGUUGUGGCUGGAAAGGGAUGAAGAGAACUUGGCACCCACCUCCUCACCUCACACUGUCUCCUCCCACAGAAGGGUUGUCGGCCUCCAAACAGAGCACUGCUGGUGUGUAGCCUGAGCAAGCAGCCUUCAAAUCACACUUUUUGCUUCUGUAAACUGUUUUGGUAAGUCAUUUCUUAGCAUCCAGGGCAGCCUUUAUGUACCAGUGCUCUAGAGCAAUGGAGGAGAUUCUGUCCUACUAAGUGGAUGAUGAACCUGUGUGAGCUGCCCUGGCUGAGCUGUUAUCACCUGCAUUUGUGUCUUUACGCUCCAUGGUCCAGGUAACAAAUGAAACCAGUUGGGUUGAUCUGCUAAACCAGUACCUUCAGGUGCUACAAAGGCACUCUGUGAUGCACAGGAGUCAGUCCCACAUUUGCCUUCUCCUUGGCCUCUGCCAGCACUCUCUGUGGACAGGGCAGGUGGGAUCUGGGCUUGUUCUUUCUGUCUGUUCUCAUCUUGGCAUCACUUCCAGGCUUGUCCCUCUCACAUCAAAUCCUACCACUCAUCUGCAGAGAUGUGCUGCCUUCAAUUGGCUCUAAUGCAACCUUAGGACGCAUACCUGCUGCAUGGGAAGUGAGCAAUGGAUGUCACUGUCAAGAAGAGCUGAAGGCUGUCAUCUCCUAACAGCUCUUUCCAGUGCUGCUAUGUUUGCUUUAUUUUGGUCAGCAGAUUUGAUGACCAUUUAAUUUGGCAUUUCCAGCUGCUUUUUUUUCUUUCCUUUUUUUUCAGUUUAUGUGGGGAAAAAAUAAUGUAUCUUUUAAAAAGUUGACUGUCUGUUUCUUGAAGCAGCAACCUGGCAUUUUUUGCCUCUUCCCAUCCAGGUUUUGUCCACCAGGUUUGACAUUUCCUUUCUAUCCUCAGUAAUCAAUUGCAGUGCAUUGCACCCUGAAGAGAGGACUGUCGUUUGGCAUCAAUGCUGCUUAGCUUGGGUCAUCAGGUUUGCUAAUAGAGAUAGACUUUGAACAACCAUAGUCCUGCUGACAUCUUUGGAGGGAAGGGAGAGGGCCUUGUUUCUCCUUUCUGGUCUAAAAUGAAAGAAAAUAGUGCCCUUUUCCCUGUUUUCCUCCCUGCACAAUACUUUCGCCUAGGUUGCCUGGGGUGAAGACCUCUGUCAAAGUACUCUCUCUUACAAUUGAAAGCCCUACACACUGGGCUUAGGAGGAAUUUUCUGGUCACAGGUACGUUUAGAUGAGGAUAUGUGAGCUAGCAUCAUGGCUCAUCCCUCCAUUUCCUGCCCUCAGUGUCCUCAGCUCAAAUCUCCAAGCCUACAGCGUGCAACCAUGAGUUGUGUGGCUCAUUAAUCCUUUUGGCCAUGGAACUCAGAGCCCAUGGAGGUGGAAAGUGAGGCUGGAGCCUCAGGGGUAGCCUCUCCUCAUGAGGUGGCACCUUCCAAUAACAGGUGGACAAAGCUUAGAAGCAUCAACCUAGGAGCUGUGUCAUGGUGUAGUGCUUUGGCAUGGUGAAGGACAGCAUCAAAAGCUGUCAACCGCCAGAAAGGGGAGAAAGAAAAGGUGGCAUCUUCCCAAAGUAGAGUGUGUUGCAACUGCCUGCAGAGCUGGCUUACAGAGUGGUGGGGUAUGUGUGUGGGAGGAGAAACAAGCUACCAGAAAUACUAAAAUAAUUGACUGGCUGGCAGGCUAAAACUUAGAAGAGGCUGUGAUUAUACUUGUCACUAUCUGUUAACCUUCAAAACAGGUGCUGAGCAUUUGAAGUGCCAACGUGGUGAUCGGGCUGCAAUCUGUAUAUGUGUAGACAGUAGUAACACAAACACAGGCAGGGGGAAGGGGCUGGGGACAUGCCAAGUGGGCACAUGGGCUAAAAGGGGAUGGCCCUGGGCAGUCAGAGUGGAAAUGCAAGUGGACUUGGCUGGCUGGGAAAAACCAGACAACUUCCCAGAGGGGCUGGGAUGGAGCAGGAAGCGUCUUCAACUGAUGGCAAACAGUGCUGCAAGGAGGACCCUGGAGAAGGGACUCCACUUUGCUAGGCUGAUUUGGCUGCUGAAGAUUUCAGGCUAGCUUUAUAAAUGUUUUCAGUUUACUGCAAUUCAGCUGGAGGAACCUUGAAUCCUGCCAAGAUCCUCAAUGUCCACUCUCUGUCUAGCUCAGUGUAUUUUUUUAAAUAUAUUUCAGCUUGGUAGCUUCUUUUGAAAGUCAACAAAAAGUGCUAAACUUUCAGUUUUAAUAAUUUUAUGUGGGAAAAAUGUCAGUAAGAGCACAGUAGAAAAGAGAAUAGAAAAAAUAAUUUAUAAAAACUUUCAUUUCUCUUACAGAGAGUAUUUACAUUACCAAACAUGGUGAUGAUGAGCAUCUUGGGAUCUUGCGAGGCUGUAUUGUUAAGUAAGUCAACAAGUGGUGCAGUGCUUGGCAUGUGGGGAAGGUGGGUGAGUGAGUGACGUUCAAGCGGGAGGAUUGGGCAGGGCUCUGAGGAAUACCCAAGGAAUGUGAAAUAAAAGACUUUCAAGAAAAAAUGUCAGGAGUGAAGAUUUGAAGAUUGUGCAUAACUGACAACGGGCAUGGCUUGCAAAGCAAAAAGAUCAUCAACACAUUUAAAAAUCUCCUUGUCUUGUCUAACCAUGUGCAGUUUGUACUAAAAUCCAGGCACAAACUGGGAUGGAAAUGUGCUUAGACUAUGGGUACAAACUAGAUAAUCUUGAGUCUGAGUUCCACCACGGGAUUCCUUCUAAUUCAGCCAAUAUCUCAGCUUCUCCAAUUGCUUUUUAAAGUUACUGUACACCUGCAUUAUACCCUUGUUCCAAAUGAGAACAGCUGAGAAACACAUAUCAUCCAGAAGUGUCUGACGGACCUCCAACAGAAAUAGCUGAUUGCUGAGAAAUUGUCAGGUUUUCUUCAAUUGUGGAUGAAACUUUUUUUCUCCUCGUGGUGUUUAUUUAACAGGCACUGGUUUGGGUGUGAAAUUGGCAGGCUGGAAAAUAUUUCUAUCAUCGGAGGUGGUGCUGCAGGGUAUUGCCUCCAUUUGGGGUCUGUUUUUAGUACAUUCUGGAAUACUGCAAAGCAUGUGCGACAACCAGGUACCUAUAAAUAGUCACUUGGCAGCAUAUCUUGAUCAUCUAAGAUCUGAUGAAAAUGUACUUUCAUGCCUUUGGUUCUCAAGCUGUGCGUGUGCUUCCUACUCUGUUUGUGAGGUGGGGGAAUUUCCGCCAAAGGUUAAGGCAUAGACUGAGCAAACCUGCUGAUCAUUUCUUAGUUCCAUGCUGCAAGGUAAAAAUGGCUAUAAUAUGGAUUUCGGGGGAGAACAGUCAUGCUCUGUAUCCCCCGUUAACCUGGCUCAGAUGCAAUGCUAUUUCCUGUCUGGAGCUAGAAAAGCACAUGUAGCAUUUGGGGGAACGCUCUCAUUUUCCUUCCUUUUUAAAAAGAGUCAAGAGACACAUCUUAGAAGUGGGGAGGUCAGAUUUCACUGAUGGUGUUGACUAUGUUUCCAGUGACUGCAGCAGGAAUUUGGAUACCUCUCUACAUUCCCAUGUCCUGAUCUGUGAGUUCAACCCCACCCAACCCAACAGGGAGAGUUUUAAAGCAGGACUGGUGGUUUGGAGAUUGGAAGUGUGUGCUGAGUAUUUCAGAAAGUUCAGGGCAAAAAGGGAAUUUGUCUCUUCACCUCAAGGAAUUCAACGCCCUUUAUUUCAGCAAAGAAAUUACAGAUUAAAAAGAAAAAGAAAUUUCAGUGAUUUCCAGAGCCCAGGCUUCAUGGCUGCUUCUGACUUGGGUAAAGAUUAGAUGAGGUUGGCUACUUCUUUGCUACUUUUUCAUAGAUGCUUUAUUUUUUCAUUGUGGGGGUUAAUUACCUAAGUGUGCAUAAAAGUAGAGGGGAGAAGAGUAUCUCAUGUCAACUGUGGGUUUCUGCAUCUGCUCUGGACCACUCUGCUUCAAGGCUUUAUCUCACCACUGUAGCACAAUACUGAUAAAACACUGUUACUGCAUCACCAAAGCCAACCACAAAUUUAAAGAGUAGAGCUGGUAGUCUUCGGUGGACCUCCUCUAUCCUUCAAAAUUUGAAAAGAAAUGCUUUUUCAAGGAGCAUAAUACUGAAUUUUGUGUCACUUCUUCCAAGCCCCCAAACAUUUAUUUUCUGAGUUAUUAAAAUCAGCCUCUGGAAGAGCUUCCUAACUUGCUCUUUUAGCAGUCCUUCUGGAAGGAAUCUGGACAUACUGAUAUUAAAGCAUUACUCUAAUUGUGACUGUUUUACAUUGCUUGAUUAUGACUAGAGUCAAAAAUACUCUUCCUUUCCUUGUGAUGUGAAUACAACCUGUGGUUUUCUCCCUGACAAAGAAUAAACAUAUUUGAUGAACGUUCCUGAUUUCUUCAUUAUUCUUGACUCUUCUGAUAUUCUUAUUGUUGAUGGGCUAAUAGUAUAGGUAGGGAUACUCUUGUUCCUAAUGUUCUUCUUUUUAGUCUUCAGUCCUUCCUUAUAGCUUGCUUGUUCUUGAUACAGCUUCUUGAAACUGGCUGUCUUGUAACACUUUGUGUUUUUAACUUACUUGUAUGGGAAUCAUACAAACCAAUCAUUUCC